Long non-coding RNA from Trifolium pratense (red clover), 2380 nucleotides. RefSeq lists it as uncharacterized. Lineage: Eukaryota; Viridiplantae; Streptophyta; Magnoliopsida; Fabales; Fabaceae. The record is from RefSeq and is a predicted model, not a curated record. The transcript has 9 exons.
UGAAUGAGGACAGAGGUUCAGCCCACAGAUUCAUCUAUCUAUUCCCCAAUCUUAUACCCUCAACAUUCUCAAACUCUUUCUCUCUCCCUUUCCAUCUUGUCCUUCACAAUCACAACAACAACCACCGCCACCACCACCACCACCACCUGUGAGGGAGUGGCCGAGAGAGAAGAUUUUCCGGCGGGAGACAAAGAGUUCCGCCCGAGGAAGAGAGUGUUCCGACCGAGAUAAAGAGUUCCGGUGGCAUUUCGCGGUAACACGGCGGUGACGGCAGUGACGGAGCUUCUUUCUCCUUCUUUUCUCUGGCUCUAUAAAAGAGUUUUUGCAGGACUAUUAGGAGGUGGAAAAUGCAGGAUGCCAAGAACUGCUAUACUUAGGUUUUUAGAAAGAACUGCACAAGACUUGCUUCAUGCAGCAUUUUGCAGAUAAAGGAUGGAUUUUGAUUUAGCUUGAAGGUUUUGAUCAUCUGUUAUAAGAGCUCUUGGUCCAUCUCCAAGAAAAAUUUACUUUCUCCAUGAAAAAUGAAAAUCAGGAUAUUGAUGCCACACAGGAGUUGGAAGUUUGCAGAAUAUGAAUUCUAAGUUGCUUAGGUAGACAGUUGGCUUAUAUCAUUAUUAAUAAUAAUAUUGAGCCCAUUUUUUUAUUCUCUAUAAACCAUUUAUAUAUAAAUAAUUUGUAUAUUAUUCUUUAGAGACUCUUAAAAAAGGUAUAAACCAUGGUUGCAAAAGCAUUUUCGAAACUAUGCAUGUUAAAAUAGUUUUUCGUUAAUUCAUUAAUAGGAUUGAAAAAAGCAUAGCCAUCAUACAUUAUGCUUUCCUUUUAUUAAAGAUGAUGGCUAUGAUGGCUAUGAUGUGAAUGUGAAAAACUUAACAUGUGACUGUUUGGAAUUAAAAUCCGAUUUUGUGUCUUUAAUUUCUUUUUGCAUAUCAGGAUUAUGUGACAAUGGAUUGUGGUGAUAGUGAUGCUAUAAUUGUACCCCCAAAAACUAUAUUGCAGUAGACUGGUGACAAAUUUCUUCCUUUCUUUUUCCUGUGGUUGGUUGUUACAGGAAAGCAGAUAAAUUACAGACAGAACUUGGAAAAUAUUUGAACUACAAUAAAGUGAAGUCUAAUUCUAUUCUGCGUUCUUCAUUCGAGCAUCCUGAUGAACUUCUGACAACAGAUAAUCUUUCCUUGGUGAGUUAAGAUACCAACACAUUUUUAACUUAUCACAUGCUUGGCCUGUCUUACAUAUAUCAGUGCCGUUUACGGAAAUGCGUUUGUUUGCUGAUAUCAUGUAUUUUUUGGUGGCUAUCUUGAGGCUUUAAGCUCAGGUGUUUUGACAACAUUAUUGGUGUGCUGCUGCUGAUGCGGGUGCUGAGCAAUUGGCCAUUUGUUUUGGUGCAAUGAUGAUGUUUUAAAUUGAGGUCACUCACUUUCUGAAGCGAGAAAUGAAAGAAUUGUUUAUUGCACGAUUAUUUGGACCGGCUGGUUUUGUGAAACCCGUUCUGAUUCUGUGGUUAUGAAGGUUAUGGCUGGUUUUUCAUUUUUCAACCGGUCUUUAAUUUAUGAUUUCUAUGUUGAAAUUUUCAUACCUUAGUUAUGUUCUAUUGUUGGAAACUAUGUGUACAGGGUCUUAUUAUAUAAAUCCUUGAUGAGAAUCUCAAUGGCUCAAUGGUUAAAUUAGUUUUCAUUUUGUUGUUGAUUGAGUUUUGUGGCUGCUACAUUACUUGAUUGUCUUAUGUAUUUGAACAUCCCGUGUUGCUAUCUUAAUUUAUUUGUGUUUUAAAAGUUUUAAGUUCCAUUCAUUUUUAGUAAAUUUGCUUUGUCAAUGAGUUAAGCGAAAUACACUGUCACAUAGCCUUCCAUAUUUCAUCUUUGUGCUUGUGGUUUUUUGUUGUCUUAAAACUUUUUUUUGCCUCAUUAUUAUCAGAUUGAGUGAAUGGUGGUACUUUCAUUGUGCUAUCAACAGUUUUAACAAUAUUAUUAAUGGAAGAUAACUGGAAUGAGAAUACUAUUAGGAUGCCUCACAGAUUCAAGAGUGGAUUUAGAGAAGACUCUUCCAUGGCGUGGGUUUUGUCAAAGUUCAUUUAGAGAGCAAGUUAUCAUCUGAUGUUAGUGGAUGGGUUGAUUUUUGUAGAACACAUAGAUUGGUUGAAGGGAUACCAGUUAAAUUUAUAGCCAACGAGCCCCUUGACAACUAGGUUAUUUAUGUUAAGGUUGCUGCUGUGCAGCAAGUGAUAGACGAAAAGUUUGUUCCUUUUGUGGUCAUGGCACAAUUCUUUGCGGUCACACCAUAUUUGAACUGUUCGGAAUUGUGUUGUCUUCUUUGAUUCACAUGUAUGAAUUCAUGGUUUAUCAUGUGAAUUUUGAUGGUAGUAUCAUAUUUUAUUUUGAUAGUA